RNAcentral lists this ribosomal RNA (505 nucleotides) under uncultured bacterium. RNAcentral's name for it is "bacterial SSU rRNA". It matches the Rfam family "Bacterial small subunit ribosomal RNA", at positions 1 to 494 of the family's 1533-position model. The record is from RNAcentral.
UAGAGUUUGAUCCUGGCUCAGGAUGAACGCUGGCGGCGUGCCUAAUACAUGCAAGUCGAGCGAACGGACGAGAAGCUUGCUUCUCUGAUGUUAGCGGCGGACGGGUGAGUAACACGUGGAUAACCUACCUAUAAGACUGGGAUAACUUCGGGAAACCGGAGCUAAUACCGGAUAAUAUUUUGAACCGCAUGGUUCAAAAGUGAAAGACGGUCUUGCUGUCACUUAUAGAUGGAUCCGCGCUGCAUUAGCUAGUUGGUAAGGUAACGGCUUACCAAGGCAACGAUGCAUAGCCGACCUGAGAGGGUGAUCGGCCACACUGGAACUGAGACACGGUCCAGACUCCUACGGGAGGCAGCAGUAGGGAAUCUUCCGCAAUGGGCGAAAGCCUGACGGAGCAACGCCGCGUGAGUGAUGAAGGUCUUCGGAUCGUAAAACUCUGUUAUUAGGGAAGAACAUAUGUGUAAGUAACUGUGCACAUCUUGACGGUACCUAAUCAGAAAGCCAC